GUGGGGAGUAGAUUGUACAGUGUAUUUUAAAAAUUAGUUGACGUUUAAAAUUUCCACAUGAUUAUAACCCAUGUCUCUGGCUUUUCAGAAGAUCUGGUGCCCCUAGGCCCUGAUUCCUGCAAGGAUGUGUGCUCAUAAAAAUUUAAUGAAGAUCUGCCUGUCCAUAAACCUCACAAAAACAGCUUUUUCUUAUUCUAUUCAGUACUGUCCCUGACCUCCUGGAUUCUCAAAGGAGAGAAAGCACAUCUCCAUUUCACUGGGAGAGAGCAGAGCUUCAAGAGUGAUAAUACCUUCCAGGAGCUUCUUACCUGGAGUAAGAAGCUUCAAGAGAAGAGUAGGUAAGUCCACUGCUUUGCAGUGAAGCAGCAGAGAACUUGAACACCAGCUGAGGUGGUACUUCUUGGGAUUCAGUCUGGAAUUGUGGAGAACAGAAAAGGAAGUGGACAGUGGCCAUUGAGGAGACAGGUUAAGAGCAU
This 476-nucleotide long non-coding RNA is filed under the name Pan troglodytes (chimpanzee). RNAcentral's name for it is "long non-coding RNA NONPTRT005376". The record is from RNAcentral. Lineage: Eukaryota; Metazoa; Chordata; Mammalia; Primates; Hominidae.